RNAcentral lists this ribosomal RNA (494 nucleotides) under uncultured bacterium. Its description in RNAcentral is "partial 16S ribosomal RNA". It matches the Rfam family "Bacterial small subunit ribosomal RNA", at positions 28 to 507 of the family's 1533-position model. The record is from RNAcentral.
GACGAACGCUGGCGGCGUGCUUAACACAUGCAAGUCGAACGGAAAGGCCUGCUUUCCCUGGUGGAUUGCGGGUACUCGAGUGGCGAACGGGUGAGUAACACGUGAGUGAUCUGCCCCCAACUUGGGUAUAAGCCUGGGAAACUGGGUCUAAUUCCCGAUAGGACCGCAGGGUGGUGCAUGUGGUGGAAACCGAUUUACCAGUGGCUGGGGAUGCGCUCGCGGCCUAUCAGCUUGCUGGUGGGGUAGUGGCCUACCAAGGCGGCGACGGGUAGCCGGCGGGGGAUGGUGGACGGCGGCAUUGGGACUGGGCCCCGGCCCCGACGCCUACGGGAGGCAGCGGUUGUGACUAUUGCACAGUGAGCGUGAUCCUGAUGCAGCGACUCCGUGUGGAGGAUGUCGGCCUUCGGGUUGUAAGCUCCUUGCGACCGCGAGGAAGCCACCUGGUUGGAAGGGUGGUGACGGUAGUGGUAGAAGAAGCACCGGCUAACUACGUG